UACGGAGGAGGCAAGCGUUAUCCGGAAUUAUUGGGCGUAAAGCGUCCGUAGGUGGUUGGCCAAGUCUGCUGUCAAAGGGUGGGGCUUAACCUCAUAAAGGCAGUGGAAACUGGCGAGCUAGAGUGCGGUAGGGGUAGGGGGAAUUCCCAGUGUAGCGGUGAAAUGCGUAGAGAUUGGGAAGAACAUCGGUGGCGAAAGCGCCCUGCUGGGCCUGCACUGACACUGAGGGACGAAAGCUACCCUAGCUAAAGGC
This 253-nucleotide ribosomal RNA is filed under the name uncultured bacterium. Its description in RNAcentral is "partial 16S ribosomal RNA". It matches the Rfam family "Bacterial small subunit ribosomal RNA", at positions 524 to 776 of the family's 1533-position model. The record is from RNAcentral.